This 375-nucleotide ribosomal RNA is filed under the name uncultured bacterium. Its description in RNAcentral is "bacterial SSU rRNA". It matches the Rfam family "Bacterial small subunit ribosomal RNA", at positions 30 to 405 of the family's 1533-position model. The record is from RNAcentral.
AUUGAACGCUGGCGGCAUGCCUUACACAUGCAAGUCGAACGGCAGCACGGGAGCAAUCCUGGUGGCGAGUGGCGAACGGGUGAGUAAUAUAUCGGAACGUGCCCGGUCGUGGGGAUAACGUAGCGAAAGCUACGCUAAUACCGCAUACGAUCUACGGAUGAAAGCGGGGGGAUCGCAAGACCUCGCGCGAUUGGAGCGGCCGAUAUCAGAUUAGGUAGUUGGUGAGGUAAAGGCUCACCAAGCCGACGAUCUGUAGCUGGUCUGAGAGGACGACCAGCCACACUGGGACUGAGACACGGCCCAGACUCCUACGGGAGGCAGCAGUGGGGAAUUUUGGACAAUGGGCGCAAGCCUGAUCCAGCAAUGCCGCGUGCA